RNAcentral lists this long non-coding RNA (882 nucleotides) under Homo sapiens (human). RNAcentral's name for it is "long non-coding RNA NONHSAT165854.1". The record is from RNAcentral. Lineage: Eukaryota; Metazoa; Chordata; Mammalia; Primates; Hominidae.
AUGCUUGCAGAGGCACUGCAGCAGGCAAAGAAGAUAAACCCCUAUCUGAGGCUCCAGUUUCUUCAGCUUUGGCCCUCUUGGGCCUUCGAACACAGACUGAAGACUGCGCUGUUGGCUUCACGACUUUGGAGGUUUUGGAACUCCAACUGGCUUCCUUGUUCUUCAGCUUGCAGACGGCCUACUGUGGGACGUCACCUUGAGAUCGUGAGGGCAAAGCCAAGAAGUGAUUUUCCCCCCUCCCUGCCACGGGAACUGUGACCUAAUUCUCAUUCCUAAUCACAGAAUCAAAGGAGAAAUUUAUUUCAAUGAGCUAGUCUGAAAGAGCUAUUUGCCAAAUGGCUUUCUUUCCAAUACUUAAUGAAAAGAUGCAUUUUGUACUACUUUCAAAAAGGGAUGUUUCAUAUAUCCUCGUUUUUAAAUGUUGUUUAGAAGAGGAAGGAAUGCCGUGGUUUAAGGGAUAUGGACAGGAGACGGAAAUACUGGGUAGAAAAGGGCAGUUCCCUGGCAAAGCCUCACCCUCAAGCCUGGAUACCUGCUGUCUUAAACGAAAACGAAAACAGGCAUUUCUGUGUUCAUGCUCCAAAAGUUAUCUUUUGGCCUGCCACACCCCCUAUCCUGCACCCAUAUGAAUCCCGAACCCCAGACUCCAGAAGCAGACCAGCAAGCCCGCAGACCAGCAGAAGGAUGGCAGAACGAUGUGGCAGAGAAAGGGAGAAGAGGAGGAACAUCUGAAUGCCAAAAUGAGUUCAGCUGGGGGCAGUCAGAGAGGAGUCCAGCCACUGGGCAGCCAGAAUCCAGGGGAGGAUCACCUUUCCACUUCAUCCCCUUCCUCUGCCUCCCCAUCCAUCCUGCUGAAAGCCACCUCCACCACUCAAUAAAACC